GCGGGAACAUAGGGCUGGGGAAUCCUGGCAGAGGCUCUGGGCAUUAUUACAGAUGGUCGUUGAGGGUCGCAAGCACCAGGCCUGGAGGCCCUCCUCGGCCUGCUACCAGCUGUGACCUUUGGAAAGUGACUUGGCUCGCGCCUCAGUUUUCCGUUUUCUGGAGGACUUGCGGCCUGAGAGUGGCCAAAAAGAAGAGAGUUACUGUCGCAGUCACUGCCUGCCUAGUGGGUAUUUAGGUGCCCAGUCAUGCCUUUGCUCUCGGAGCCAGUGCCUGGUGCAAGCACUGCGGUGGGUUCGUGCCCCAGCUUGGGGGCCACAGGGCUGACUCGGCCGCACUGCCUAUGCGAGCUUGGCCCCAGUUUCCUCGUCAGGGCACAGAACUUCCUUCAAAGGUUCAAAAGAAGAGGCUGUUCUAAGAAAGACUACCGAGUAAUCAAUCACCUCCUCAGAGAAAGUCUGCUCAGGAAACUCUCCUCCCACCAGCCCCUGCACUUGGUUCCUUGCGUUGCCUCUGGCUGGAAGCUGUUGUCCCCAACUUCAGAAAGUGUCUGCAGAUUUCACAGGCUCUCUCUUGGGUCAAGAAACAACAGCUAUUGUGUUUCUUCUGGGACUGAAGCCCAUUUCCGAUCUGGAUAUGUAAACUCCAGAAGAGGACAGAAGAGAUGAAUGGCAAAGAGUUGAUAACCGCUGAAGCUGAGUGAUGGAUAUGUGGGAAUCUGAAAUAUCCUCUCCACACUAGUGUGUGUAUAAAAAGCUCAUAAAACAAAGUUGGGGGGAAGAAAAGGAUCUGGCAAAGCUCAGUGAUGGUCUGUGUAAGCCAGCAUUCGUUUCAGAGGGAGUGCUCCGUAUCAAAUGUGAGUGCGUGUACUGCAGGAUACGCUAAUAUGAUUGUAAUAAAUGGUCUUCAACUAUGGCA
RNAcentral lists this long non-coding RNA (916 nucleotides) under Homo sapiens (human). Its description in RNAcentral is "novel transcript, antisense to ITPR1". The record is from RNAcentral. Lineage: Eukaryota; Metazoa; Chordata; Mammalia; Primates; Hominidae.